Molecule: ribosomal RNA, 551 nt
Filed under: uncultured Verrucaria
Lineage: Eukaryota; Fungi; Ascomycota; Eurotiomycetes; Verrucariales; Verrucariaceae
Description: eukaryotic LSU rRNA
Rfam family: 5.8S ribosomal RNA (bases 182-335)
Source: RNAcentral
AUCAUUAUUGAGUUAGGGUCCUCUGGGCCCCAUCUCCAACCCUUGUCUAUCCUACCAUGUUGCUUUGGCGGGCCCGUUCUCAACCGGACCGCUGGGGACUCGCUUCCCUAGCCCGUGCCCGUCAGUAGCCCCUAACAACUCCAAGUCACGGUGAUGUCUAAGUAGAACUAUAAUGAACUAAAACUUUUAACAACGGAUCUCUUGGUUCUGGCAUCGAUGAAGAACGCAGCGAAAUGCGAUAAGUAAUGCGAAUUGCAGAAUUCCGUGAGUCAUCGAAUCUUUGAACGCACAUUGCGCCCUCUGGUAUUCCGGAGGGCAUGCCUGUUCGAGCGUCAUUAUCAACCUCAAGCUCGGCUUGCUGUUGGGUCUCGCCGUGGCAAGCACGGUGGAUCUCAAAGAUAAUGAUAGAGUCUGAAGGACCCUGGAUGCAGCGAGCUUUUAGCACGCGUCCGGAUGGUGUUUCGGGCUCGGUCUUAACCAACAAGAUUUCUGGUUGACCUCGGAUCAGGUGGGGAUACCCGCUGAACUUAAGCAUAUCAAUAAGCGGAGGA